UACCGUUGGCCUUGCAUAACGUUAAAUCCGCAUACUGCUACAUUUUAUCGCCAAGAUUUUGCCUCGCAUACCGCUAAAAAGCCGCUCAACGCUGUUCGUCCGAGACGCGUCUAAUGUGCGCCCUUAGCCAGCCUCACAUGUUCCGCCGGUGGCAUUGUUUACCAGCCAGCCUCCGCGGUAACAUCCAAGCAUACAAUUGGAACAUUUCAUAUUAUUACAGUGUUUUUGGUGAUUUUAUCUGCAAAAUAAGUGACCAUGGGCCCCAAGAAAGCUUCUAGUGCCAACCCUACAGCAAUAAGGGUGAGAAUUACUAUAGAGAUGAAGAAAAAGAUCAUUGAUAAGUAUGAAAGUGGAGUGCGUGUCUCCGAGCUGGCCAGGUUGUAUAAUAAACCCCAAUCAACCAUCACUACUAUUGGUGGUACAGCUGCUGCUGCUGCUGUACCACCGUCAGCUGCUGCUGCUGCUGCUGCUGUAGUACCGUCUGCUGCUGCUGUAGCAUCGUCUGCUGCUGCUGUAGCACUGUCAGCUGCUGCUGCUGCUGUACCACCGUCAGCUGCUGCUGCUGCUGUAGCAUCGUCUGCUGCUGCUGUAGCACUGUCAGCUGCUGCUGCUGCUGUACCACCAUCAGCUGCUGCUGCUGCUGUAGCAUCGUCUGCUGCUGCUGUAGCAUCGUCUGCUGCUGCUGUAGCACUGUCAGCUGCUGCUGCUGCUGUACCACCGUCAGCUGCUGCUGCUGCUGUAGUACCGUCUACUGCUGCUGUAGCAUCGUCUGCUGCUGCUGUAGCAUCGUCUGCUGCUGCUGUAGCACUGUCAGCUGCUGCUGCUGCUGCUGCUGUAGCACUGUCAGCUGCUGCUGCUGCUGUAGCAUCGUCUGCUGCUGCUGCUGCUGUAGCACCGUUGUUGGUGUGGCUUAUUGAGAAUACCAAGAAACAAUUAACCCCAGAGGAUUUACCACCCAGGAUAACCAAAAAGUCAGUGUCAUCGAAGACUGUCUAACUUAUUUCCAUUGGGGUCCUUAAUCUUGUCUCCCAGGAUGCAACCCACACCAGUCGACUAACACCCAGGUGAACAGGGAAAAAUGCCUGGAACUAGUGCUCAUAUUGGUGAAUUUAAAGCCAGCAAAGGUUGGUUUGAGAGAUUAAGAAUCGUAGUGGCAUACACAGUGUGAUAAGGCCUGUUCUGGAAGAAAAUACCAAACAGGACCUACAGUACUCAGGAGGAAAAGGCACUCCCAGGACACAGUGUCUCAUCAGUCAUUGCUGCAUCUUCAAUAAAGAAAAUUCAGUGAAGGUGGGUUUUCCAGCAGCAGUUUUCCUGGGACUUGCAGCAGUUCUCUUCAAGGACUCUAUGCAAAAAGGAUGGGAAUUUUUCCCCAAGAUUUAUCACAAGAUGGGCUAUAUUGAUUACAG
Non-coding RNA from Cherax quadricarinatus, 1409 nucleotides. Lineage: Eukaryota; Metazoa; Arthropoda; Malacostraca; Decapoda; Parastacidae. The record is from RefSeq and is a predicted model, not a curated record.